This 517-nucleotide ribosomal RNA is filed under the name uncultured bacterium. RNAcentral's name for it is "bacterial SSU rRNA". It matches the Rfam family "Bacterial small subunit ribosomal RNA", at positions 992 to 1509 of the family's 1533-position model. The record is from RNAcentral.
AGAACUUAGCAGAGAUGCUUUGGUGCCUUCGGGAACUCUGAGACAGGUGCUGCAUGGCUGUCGUCAGCUCGUGUUGUGAAAUGUUGGGUUAAGUCCCGCAACGAGCGCAACCCUUAUCCUUUGUUGCCAGCGGUCUGGCCGGGAACUCAAAGGAGACUGCCAGUGAUAAACUGGAGGAAGGUGGGGAUGACGUCAAGUCAUCAUGGCCCUUACGAGUAGGGCUACACACGUGCUACAAUGGCGCAUACAAAGAGAAGCGACCUCGCGAGAGCAAGCGGACCUCAUAAAGUGCGUCGUAGUCCGGAUUGGAGUCUGCAACUCGACUCCAUGAAGUCGGAAUCGCUAGUAAUCGUAGAUCAGAAUGCUACGGUGAAUACGUUCCCGGGCCUUGUACACACCGCCCGUCACACCAUGGGAGUGGGUUGCAAAAGAAGUAGGUAGCUUAACCUUCGGGAGGGCGCUUACCACUUUGUGAUUCAUGACUGGGGUGAAGUCGUAACAAGGUAAGCGUAGACGU